This 492-nucleotide ribosomal RNA is filed under the name uncultured bacterium. Its description in RNAcentral is "partial 16S ribosomal RNA". It matches the Rfam family "Bacterial small subunit ribosomal RNA", at positions 29 to 507 of the family's 1533-position model. The record is from RNAcentral.
AGUGAACGCUGGCGGUAGGCCUAACACAUGCAAGUCGAACGGCAGCACAGUAAGAGCUUGCUCUUACGGGUGGCGAGUGGCGGACGGGUGAGGAAUACAUCGGAAUCUACUUUUUCGUGGGGGAUAACGUAGGGAAACUUACGCUAAUACCGCAUACGACCUACGGGUGAAAGCAGGGGAUCUUCGGACCUUGCGCGAUUGAAUGAGCCGAUGUCGGAUUAGCUAGUUGGCGGGGUAAAGGCCCACCAAGGCGACGAUCCGUAGCUGGUCUGAGAGGAUGAUCAGCCACACUGGAACUGAGAAACGGUCCAGACUCCGACGGGAGGCAGCAGUGGGGAAUAUUGGACAAUGGGCGCAAGCCUGAUCCAGCCAUACCGCGUGGGUGAAGAAGGCCUUCGGGUUGUAAAGCCCUUUUGUUGGGAAAGAAAAGCAGCAGGUUAAUACCCCGCUGUUCUGACGGUACCCAAAGAAUAAGCACCGGCUAACUUCGUG